Molecule: unclassified non-coding RNA, 360 nt
Filed under: soil metagenome
Description: partial contains 5.8S ribosomal RNA, internal transcribed spacer 2, and large subunit ribosomal RNA
Rfam family: 5.8S ribosomal RNA (bases 1-120)
Source: RNAcentral
GAUGAAGAACGCAGCGAAAUGCGAUAAGUAAUGCGAAUUGCAGAAUUCAGUGAAUCAUCGAAUCUUUGAACGCACAUUGCGCCCGCUAGUAUUCUGGCGGGCAUGCCUGUCUGAGCGUCAUUUCAACCCUCGCCCCCGGCUUUUGCUGGGAGCGGUGUUGGGGAUCGGCCGCCCGUCACUGGGAGGCCGGCCCCGAAAUAGAGUGGCGACCACGCCGUGUGCUCCUCUGCGUAGUAGUAAAUCACCUCGCAGGCGGACAGCGGUGCGGCCUGCCGUAAAACCCCCCACUGUAACCCCAAAGGUUGACCUCGGAUCAGGUAGGAAUACCCGCUGAACUUAAGCAUAUCAAUAAGCGGAGGA